RNAcentral lists this long non-coding RNA (495 nucleotides) under Homo sapiens (human). RNAcentral's name for it is "HSALNT0407275". Lineage: Eukaryota; Metazoa; Chordata; Mammalia; Primates; Hominidae. The record is from RNAcentral.
UUGCAUUUUCUCUGAGACAGCUGCCAUUCUAGUCUCCCAGCCAUUCUUAGGAAGAGACGUGCCUGUCUCUGGGAAGAGGCAACUUCUCUGCAUGUCAGAGGAUGCUGGUCUUUCAAGUCCCUGCUGCUUUGGAAGAUCUCUGAGGCCUUCAACCACAUUCUUUGUAUUUAUGUCCUACUCUUCUACUUGUUCUCUGUGGAAGAGAGACAGAGGAAAAAAGCUACUGUAACCUUAUCCUAAGUGGAUGCCUAGGUGAACAUUUUGGAUGGUCACUUAACCUAAGUCUCAGUUUCCUCAUUAAUAAAAUGGGGGCACAUGAGACAUACCUCAUGAGGUUGUUUCGAGGCUUAAAUAUACGUUAAAUGUAUUUUGUGAGCCUAAAAGAUAUUUAAACACAAGCCGCUAUUACAUCUUUACAUGAUUGAAGUUCCUGAAGGAGACCUGUAGUGGGUGUCUAUACAGGGCAGUUGGUUCAUGUGGCCAGGUCUACUUGGG